GACGAACGCUGGCGGCGUGCUUAACACAUGCAAGUCGAACGGAAAGGCCCUGCUUUUGUGGGGUGCUCGAGUGGCGAACGGGUGAGUAACACGUGAGUAACCUGCCCUUGACUUUGGGAUAACUUCAGGAAACUGGGGCUAAUACCGGAUAGGAGCUCCUGCUGCAGGGUGGGGGUUGGAAAGUUUCGGCGGUUGGGGAUGGACUCGCGGCUUAUCAGUUUGUUGGUGGGGUAGUGGAUUACCAAGGCUUUGAUGGGUAGCCGGCCUGAGAGGGUGACCGGCCACAUUGGGACUGGGAUAGGGCCCGGACUCCUGGGGGAGGCAGCAGUGGGGAGUAUUGCACGAUGGGCGGAAGCCUGAUGCAGCAACGCCGCGUGCGGGAUGACGGCCUUCGGGUUGUAAACCGCUUUCGCCUGUGACGAAGCGUGAGUGACGGUAAUGGGUAACGAAGCACCGGCUAACUACGUG
This 468-nucleotide ribosomal RNA is filed under the name uncultured bacterium. Its description in RNAcentral is "partial 16S ribosomal RNA". It matches the Rfam family "Bacterial small subunit ribosomal RNA", at positions 28 to 507 of the family's 1533-position model. The record is from RNAcentral.